Molecule: unclassified non-coding RNA, 1789 nt
Filed under: Leishmania donovani
Lineage: Eukaryota; Euglenozoa; Kinetoplastea; Trypanosomatida; Trypanosomatidae
Description: gene:LdHU3.31.0280(CDS-product:hypothetical_prote in_conserved)
Source: RNAcentral
AAUCGGAGGACAUGGUAGCCUUGGAGCGGGAGUACGUUCUCGGCUCCUUCUGCGAGCUGCGCAUCAUCACCUCGCUCUCCUCCACACAGCUGUCCAAGGUGACCCUGCGAAAGCCGGUGGAAGACGACGACACGUCAACCGCGGCGCGGGCAGAGGUAUUUGGGACAGAGCUGAUCCCGGGAGUGCCAGUGCACCUGCCGCCCGGUCGCUCCCUUAGCAUCUUCACCUCCACCGGCUGCACCCUGUCGCUGGUGGCACCGCCGACGGUGCUGCAGCGCUGCUAUGCGACGUCGCUCGGGGCGACCUGGGUGCGCUCGUUGCUCGAUUUUCACUCCCACCUGGAGCGAGCACGAGUGGAGGCCCGCGGCCGCGACGACGUCGGACCUCGCGUGCUCUUCGUGAGCGACCGCCACCACUGCGGGGCGAGCACCUAUGUUCGCUGGCUGAGCAACUUUGCCGUGCGCCUCGGCUACCACCCCCUGCUGCUCGAUGGGGUGCUGGACACCCCUGCCUUCGCGUUCCCAGGCAGUAUAGCGCUUUUCCACGCCCAGCACUGCAUGGACAUCGAGGAGGAGAUGAAUCUGACGCCGGCGCUGUAUGCCCAAGUCGGCCAGUCGCGUGUGGCCAACCCACGACUCUACCAGCACUGGGUGCAGCAGCUUCUGCCGAACGGCAUGGAGAAGAUGGCGCGCAGUGAGCGCUGCCGCGUGGGCGGACUGUUCUUUGACUUUGGCGUGGUGGAGCCGCACGCGGUGGAGCAGGCGGAAGCGGCGGCGGCGGCGGUGCCGAGCGUCGACCCAACCGCCUCUGCUUCGCCUGCACCUGCCGCCCUGGGAAGCGGUAAGACGCAGACGAACCCACUCGACACACUCCUGGACACCAUUGUGGCAGCCGACAUCGAUCACGUUUGCGUCGUCGGUAGCUCAUGGCUGCGGUGGAAGCUGGUGCAGCGUGCAUGGGAGCGCUUUGGUGGUGAAGGGUCGAUGAGCAUUGUGCAGGCGAUGCUUGAUCCGCGCUGGAACGUGCCGCCCGAGGUGGACUGCGGAGGUGGGCAGCACUUCAAGGUCUUUCUUUUAGACUCCGUGGAGCUGGUAAACUCGGUGCCGGUGCCGCUAUUGAAUCGCCAGCGGUGGCUGCAGUACUUCUUCGGCACCCCGACAUCGCCAGUGAAGCCGACCCUCAUCACCCUCGAGGCCUCGCAGGUGCGCGUCGCAACCGUCGGUGCGGCAGCGAUCGCCGCCAUGUCGACACUGCUGCCGAUGAUGGACAGCGAGGACGCGGACCGGCAGAAGGCGGAUGUGGCGGCCGUGUCGUUCACUACCCUGCAGGACGUCGCCCUGAAGGACCGAAUCGUCGCAAUCAGCACAGCCACUGAGUACGAGCGCAGCCCUGACGGGGAGCUUCACCGACUCCCUUUCAGUGUGUUCGAGCGCAGAAUCCGGCAUGGUACUGUGCUUGGGUUUGCGCUGGUGGAAUCUGUGACACCGGAGCGGCUCACGCUGCUUGUGAGUGGCUGCCCGCUCGACAAGGAGCUUGGCCUUUGCUUUCUUCUCACGGAGGAAGUGCUGAAGAGCUGAGAGGGCGGAGGGUGAGUAUUUGUGGGAGAACGCCAAACACUUGCAGCACGCGUCUCUGCAUGUGCCUCGGCAUGCUGGACAGGGGAGGGGCGCACGACGCGCCACGCGCCGUAACGGUCGACAUGGGACGACGCUAGCAAGACUGUGCAUGUGUGUGUGCACGUUGCUGCUGUAGGGAGCAGCAAUGGUGUGCCGUAGCGCCAUAAAAACCA